UGUUCCUGUCUAUCACUCAGCUGGGUGUGAUGACCUACACUGACAUGACAGAACAGAGUCCAGAGACUCAGGCUGCUGUGGAGAAUGAAAUCAGGGCAUUACUGAAGGAAUCUUACAAGCGUGCUAGAGUUCCUCCUGAAGUCUCAUGCCAAAGAGCACAAGAACUGGCAGAAGCACUACUCAUGUACGCGACCCUGGAUGCCAAAGAAAUCCAGCUGGUCCUUGAGGGCAAGACCCUGGAGACCAGAUGAGACCAAGCAAGGAUGUCGACAAUCAAGGAUGAAUGCCACGUGAGCUGUGGAAAAUCUUGUGAAGUUACAGAAAGAUGGAUGGACUAAGAUUAUAAUUGCUGUACUUUCCAAAGUGCUCAUCAAAUCAAAAUUAAUUUUGUGUUGUAUUGGAGUCUUGUAGAAUUUUCUUUUCAACAGCUGACAACUAGAGUAAAGAGAAUAGACACUAGUCUUUAUGUGUGACUUUGACAUUUUCAUCGUAUGUGAUGGAUGCUUCAUAUAAAUAUGUUACUCAGGUUACGUCAUCAUCUGGAGAGUCUGUAAUACAUGAUGUAAAUCUGAAAUUGUUUUUCAAGCAACCAUCUGGAUAUGUUUGUUUAUUUUUGUGGUCAUACACAAAUAAGUUGUAACACUGAAGUUUUCAAUUCAGCCAGAUGUAUGCAAGCUUCAUUGGGAAAUAGUGAGCAGCUUGUGCUAAUUACCCAAAGAAUGCCAUAGUUUCCAUUAGUUUUCCAGUGUUGUGCUCAUCUCUCUUACUGCCCAGUUUGGCCAAAGGUGCAGCAGGUGGUCCAUACGUGUCAAGUCAUGAAGACGUUCAUGUCUGGUGAAUCGAAGAAAUAUACAUUCUUCUCUUCUUGUUUUUAAAGAUAGCCUUUUGAGGGAUAAAUUGUUAGUGUAAAUGUUUGCCUUUGAAAUUUAAAUUCUACAAGGUUGAACUAAAUCUGAGCACUUUUGAUAAGUACAAGUAAAAAAAAAUAAAAAUGCUCAUUGUGUAUAUAAUCUACGCUGUAUUUACAACUGCUGCUUAGCCUCAAAAAGCUGGUGUUUUGUCACCAUGUGAUAAACAGUUUAUUUAAAUGGCCCAAGUUUCUUAUGAAAUACACUUUUGUCAUUGCAACUGA
Molecule: long non-coding RNA, 1132 nt
Organism: Thalassophryne amazonica
Lineage: Eukaryota; Metazoa; Chordata; Actinopteri; Batrachoidiformes; Batrachoididae
Exons: 2
Source: RefSeq, a predicted model, not a curated record